Bubalus bubalis (water buffalo) is the source of this 1105-nucleotide long non-coding RNA. RefSeq lists it as uncharacterized. The transcript has 3 exons. Lineage: Eukaryota; Metazoa; Chordata; Mammalia; Artiodactyla; Bovidae. The record is from RefSeq and is a predicted model, not a curated record.
UUAAUUACUCAGAAUGGAUUGCACACUUUUAUGAGGAGCCUACGAAUAAGAACCCAGGCAUCUGCGAUUCUUAGAACUUGGUGCUGUUGGCUUUUCACCUAUUGAGGGGCUUUGCUGAUGGUUGGGCAGCAAAAGAGUCUCCGAGAAAGGCCAGGAGAGCGCGUAAGGAGAGGACCCCACAGGCAACCUCCCAGGCUGAAAUGGUCUUUGGAGUGGGAGAUGCCGUAAUUGGUUUUGGACGGCCCUUGGCAGGAGAGCCACAAUCAAUCACACUAAAGAGUGUGAACUUGGGACAGACAGCGGAGUCGAGGAGAUGGAUUAGAGAGUGCAGCUGCUGGCAGAAGCUCCUCUGCUGAUCUUUCUUUUCAGCCUUCUUUCCUUGACAAUUCAUUAAUCAACUAACACACAUUUGUUAAGCUCCUAUUAUUGAAUGUCUACCUGCGUGGGGGGUUCCAUAGAGAACAGAAUAAGUACUGAUAAGAGAGACAAUGCUGAUUACAAAAUAACAACUGCCCCUUUUUAUUAAUGACCACCCAUGGGCUCUCAAGGAAUGCUGUGCUUCACACAGGUUGUUUAUGGUUCUCGGGGAGUCACUGCAUGGUGGUAAUGCCAGCCCCAUUCUAAAUAUGAAGAAGUCAACGCUCAAAGCAGUGAAACUCACUAAAAGCCUUCAAAUAAGUAGUGAAAGAGUAAGACAAUAUCACUAUGCCAUUCAUUAUGAUGGUGAUGUCACAGUCAUUCAGUAUCCAUGGGGGAUUGGUUCCAGGACUCCCACGGAUAUCAAAAUGCAAGGAUGCUCAAGUCUCUUUUAUAAAAUGGCAUCGAAUUUGCCUAUAACCUACAUAUAUCCUCCUGUAUUCUUUAAAUCAUCUCUAGAUAACUUAGAAUACCUAAUAAACAUAAGUGCUAUGUAAACACAGUUGACACUUGAUCACCAGAGAUUUGAACUGUGCAGAUCCACUUCCAUGUGAAUUUGUUUCACUAAAUCCAUACUCCUGCUGAUGCUGCUAAGUCACUUCAGUCGUGUCCGACUCUGUGCGACCCCAUAGAUGGCAGCCCACCAGGCUCCCCCCUCCCUGGGAUUCUCCAUACUACAAGACUAUGA